ACGGAAGGCAGCAGUGAGGAAUAUUGGUCAAUGGACGGAAGUCUGAACCAGCCAAGUCGCGUGAAGGAUGAAGGUAUUAUGUAUUGUAAACUUCUUUAGUCGCAGAGAAAUAAGGUGCUCGUGAGCACUGAUGCUAGUAUGCGAAGAAUAAGGAUCGGCUAACUCCGUGCCAGCAGCCGCGGUAAUACGGAGGAUCCGAGCGUUAUCCGGAUUUAUUGGGUUUAAAGGGUGCGCAGGCGGUCUUUUAAGUCAGUGGUCAAAUUGCGGAGCUCAACUCCGUCCCGCCAUUGAUACUGGGAGACUUGAUUGCGGUCGAGGUUGGCGGAAUUCGUCGUGUAGCGGUGAAAUGCAUAGAUAUGACGAAGAACACCGAUUGCGUAGGCAGCUGACCAGGCCGUAAAUGACGCUCAUGCACGAAAGUGCGGGGAUCGAACAGGAUUAGAUACCCUGGUA
RNAcentral lists this ribosomal RNA (453 nucleotides) under uncultured Porphyromonadaceae bacterium. RNAcentral describes it as "partial 16S ribosomal RNA". It matches the Rfam family "Bacterial small subunit ribosomal RNA", at positions 341 to 792 of the family's 1533-position model. The record is from RNAcentral. Lineage: Bacteria; Pseudomonadati; Bacteroidota; Bacteroidia; Bacteroidales; Porphyromonadaceae.